Molecule: ribosomal RNA, 361 nt
Filed under: uncultured bacterium
Lineage: Bacteria
Description: bacterial SSU rRNA
Rfam family: Bacterial small subunit ribosomal RNA
Source: RNAcentral
UGGAAACGGGGAUUAAUACCGCAUAAUAUGCCGAAGUCGCAUGACUUUGGUAUUAAAGCAGCAAUGCACUUAGAGAUGAGUGUGCGUCCCAUUAGGUAGUUGGUGAGGUAACGGCUCACCAAGCCUAUGAUGGGUAGCCGGUCUGAGAGGAUGGUCGGCCACACGGGCACUGAGACACGGGCCCGACUCCUACGGGAGGCAGCAGGUAAGGAAUAUUGGUCAAUGGUGGAAACACUGAACCAGCCAUGCCGCGUGGAGGAAUAAGGUCCUACGGAUUGUAAACUCCUUUUGACGAGGAAGAAAAUGUUAGAUUUAUCUAAUUUUGACGGUACUCGUAGAAUAAGCACCGGCUAACUCCGUG